UUUAAAAUCAAAAUUUAUUAUUUUAUAUUUCAACACGAUUUUAGCGCAAUGUAGUUGCAACACGUUAUACAAUUUCAUGGUCAACCGUUUUGUUCCGUUUAAGACAUGGAGCGUGGUUCAUUUGCGGGCACCGCGGCUGUGGUUCAAGCCAAGUGCGCAUUUCCCCAUUGUCUCCUUAAUAAAUUACGCAAGAAACGGCGCGCAGAGACCGCUGCGACCCGACUGAAAGAGACGUAAAUCCGUAUUUUGCAACGGAAAUAAACACACACAAAGAAAUUCUCCCUCGCUGGAUAUGAUAGUGCCCGAACACAAUAAUGUAAAUAAAACGGCGGAAAGCGGUGCGAAUUGCGAGUCAACGUCGAAAAGCUAAACCAAAAAAUGACCACCUAAAGAUAUACACAGAGUCGUAUUUAGGUUAAACGAAACUGUUUGAAGAGUAAACAGAAAAAAUAUAUACCCAUGUUAUCCUUUAAAAAUAAACAAUCCCAUAAU
Molecule: non-coding RNA, 492 nt
Organism: Onthophagus taurus
Lineage: Eukaryota; Metazoa; Arthropoda; Insecta; Coleoptera; Scarabaeidae
Source: RefSeq, a predicted model, not a curated record